UGGUUAUUAUGUGUAAUAUGUUGGGAUCACUGCAGGCAGGUUGCAAGUUUCUUAUAUUUGCGCACCAUCAGCCAAUGAUAAAUGCAAUACAUGAGUGCCUUCGUAAGAAAAAAGUGGGUUGCUUCUGGAUUGAUGGAGGUACACCCGGUGUGCAUCAAGGCAACAAUUGGUUACAGAUUUCCAGGAAAAGGAUCAUAUAUAUCAAGGCGGCUGUUCUAUCUGUUAAAGCUGGGGAGUUGGAUUAACUUUAACUGCUGCAAGCACAGUUAUCUUUGUUUUGUAGAACAAUCCUGGACUCCAGGUGACACAGUUAUCUUCAUUAUUACUU
This is a non-coding RNA of Arachis ipaensis, 328 nucleotides long. The record is from RefSeq and is a predicted model, not a curated record. NCBI's taxonomy places the organism in Eukaryota, Viridiplantae, Streptophyta, Magnoliopsida, Fabales, Fabaceae.